GGCAUCUUUGCUGGGCAAUUCGAAGGAUGCAUAUAAAGAGGACACCAGACAAUAAGUCUUAUUUUCAGAAAAAGAAGAGCUGUACUUGGCAGUUGUUGUCCAUCUCAUCUCAGUCAAUUAGCAGCAUUUCUCAAACUCAAGCCCAGGCUGGACAGUUCUGGGAAUACAUCUUAAAUUUGCCAAUUUGGAGAGUACUGCUCUACAGCCUCCAAUUGUUCUUUCUGAAUCUGAACUCAAAGACC
Crotalus tigris (Tiger rattlesnake) is the source of this 242-nucleotide long non-coding RNA. RefSeq lists it as uncharacterized. Lineage: Eukaryota; Metazoa; Chordata; Lepidosauria; Squamata; Viperidae. The record is from RefSeq and is a predicted model, not a curated record. The transcript has 3 exons.